RNAcentral lists this unclassified non-coding RNA (379 nucleotides) under Hevea brasiliensis (rubber tree). The record is from RNAcentral. Lineage: Eukaryota; Viridiplantae; Streptophyta; Magnoliopsida; Malpighiales; Euphorbiaceae.
AUUUGUGAUUUUGGGUACUCCAAGGUUAGUACUUAUUUUCUCUCACUUCUGCUUUCUUCUUUCACUUGUGCUUACAUAUUUUACUGCAUCUAUGGACCAUUGGACCUCGUGGUUCAGAUUGUGAAUUUUCUGGUGCACACUAUCAAUUUUGGGGACUAUGCCACUUAGGGAUGCGUUCAUUUUGAGUCGAUGAAAUUGCACUAUAGAUUGAGGACGAUUUAAGAGUUGUGGUUUUUGUUGAAACGCUUUCUAUCCCAAUGAAAUGCUGAAAUAAAUGAGACAAGUUCAAGUUCUAAAAUCUUAUUGGCAAUAUGAUUUAUGAUAUUGGAAUUGGAAGGUACAACAGGUGCUUGAACGAUUCUAUGGAGGAUGUAACAUG